UACAGAGGAGCCAAGCGUUGUCCGGAUUGACUGGGCGUAAAGCGCACGCAGGCGGAUGCGCGCGUGGGGUGUGAAAUCUGGCCGCUUAACGGCCAGGCGCCAUCCCAUACGGCGCGUCUGGAGUGAUGCAGAGGUCGAUGGAAUUGCCGGUGUAGUGGUGAAAUGCGUAGAGAUCGGCAGGAGCACCCAGGGGGAAACCAGUCGACUGGGCAUCUACUGACGCUGAGGUGCGAGAGCGUGGGGAGCGAACCGG
This 253-nucleotide ribosomal RNA is filed under the name uncultured bacterium. RNAcentral's name for it is "partial 16S ribosomal RNA". It matches the Rfam family "Bacterial small subunit ribosomal RNA", at positions 524 to 776 of the family's 1533-position model. The record is from RNAcentral.